Molecule: long non-coding RNA, 3005 nt
Organism: Cephus cinctus (wheat stem sawfly)
Lineage: Eukaryota; Metazoa; Arthropoda; Insecta; Hymenoptera; Cephidae
Exons: 3
Source: RefSeq, a predicted model, not a curated record
UCUGCCACCGAGUUCCUCCGCGCUAACCAUAGGCGCUACUUAAAUGCCACCGCACGCCCUCUUACAGAAUAUCCUUGUAACUAGCAACUGCCUUCUACCGUCAUGUUCGUGUUACGUGCCAUCGUGUAUAUUGGCGUGACGAUUUAAAAAGUUCUUUAUGAAGAAGGAGAGAGAGAGAGAGAGUAUUAUAUAUAUAUACAUAAGUAUAUCUGCACAUUUUUUAACGUAACAAUCACUUUUGACAGCCUUAACAACUUCGGUAAAAACAAAUGAAUCACACUGCAGAGAUAUACCAAGGACCCAAGGGAUUUCAUGCCUGAAAUUUAUUAUACAGAUAACUUGAGUCCUCAAACGGUAAUUCCUACGUCUUCUGAACAUAUGUAAGAGAUUAGUGACUCGUCCUAUAGAAAUACUGUUAGCCUAACCUUAAAUCUUAAAAUUGUGUCGUUUGAAUGAUUGUGAAAAUUUGAAAAGAAACAGUCUUUCUUUGGAACUUCAUUACACGAUUGAUACCCAUUUACGCUCUGUUAUGUCAUGACUGUACCUUAUACCUCCUGCAGACAUACCUUUGAACUCUGUUUGCAUAUUAAUAAUUUAACGUCUGUCAUCGUAGUUUCAUCUGUGUCAAAGUAUAUGUAGGGAAUAACGAGUAAUAACGAGCGAACAAAUAUUUAGAAUUUAUUGUCAUCCCACUAUUGCAGCACACGACUGCAAUCAAUACGGAAUGACGUUUUGACAAGGUCAAUACUUUUGCCGAUGUUUAUUUUUUCACAGCUGGACAUAAUAAUCGCUUAUACUUCGUCGUAUAAGGAUAUUACGGGGUCGGGGGUCAGUGGAGGUCGAUGAAAAAUUUCAGAACACUGCAUGAGACUAGUAACGUAGUCUAGACGAGGGAGUGUGGAAAUUAAUAGGAAAAAUAAAUAAAUAAACAAAAUUUCUAAAACCAACACGUACCGCCCUCUUGAAUCAAGAUCGCGGUCUCGGAGAGGAGCGGGAGGGAGAAGUUUGAAGAUUGGAAAAUCACCAGGCCGUCUUGAGAAUUAAAAAAAAAAGAGGACAUUCAUCACUACAGACAAAUAUCCAGAGUAUUGCUGACUGGCGAGUAGCAUUUUUCCCGAAUAGAUUCCCUUUCCUCGGUCUUUAUCAUCUUCUAUUUAUCAGGGGUCUUUCGAGUUCGCAUCAUCAUCAUUAACACCAACGCGCAAGGCAGUGCUGUGAGCGGCGACGAAGUGCGGAGGAACCAGAGAAAUUCCAGGCUCUGAUUGGUCGAGGAAGGUGUAUGUAUCUGGAAAACGUUGACCAAUGAUAUUCCAGCGACCCACUGGGUAAUCCGUUUACGCCUUUCGAACUUUGAUAAUUCGUAUUAUACUUCGUCUUACGGUAAUAUUACGAUUAAUUAACCUAUCAAAAUUAAUGACUACUCAAAAUUCUAUCAACAUCCUUAAUAUUUAAUUAUUUGAAAAUCCAGAUCUUUGACCCGGCAUGCAUAAUACCUCUUCUGGAUUGAAUAGAAAUCCGUAUUAUAUCUAAAUGUAAAAGACGAAAAAUACAAAAAAUACGAAAAUUACGUAAAACACUCGUAUACAGGAUAGAAACAAUCAUCUAUUGGAAUACUACGUAUACCAUACUGCAACAGCUGGUGAUACCAAUCUGAUGUCUGUUACCAGAAUCUAUGAAACAACAAAUUUGUUACAAAUCAACGAGAGCAUCGAUCACGUGAAGGUCUAAUAUCCGUUAUCAUUGAUUUUCAAUAAAAAUAUAAUAUCAAGUAUGGAUAACCCAACGAUAGCUUUCACUUUUAUGUAUAAACAUGCAAUACUUAGUUCGCAUGUUUACAGCAUUGAUAAAUUCCUUCGGAACAACUGAUUCAUAAUACUAUAACCCUAUUAAAAGUAUAAUAAAAACUUCGAAGACUGAUUUUCAAUUGGCACUGAAUAAUUGUAUUUAUUCGUAAUACAAGAAAAAUAAUGAAUCAAACCUUAUAUAUCAAUUGGUCCAUUGAGCAUGACACGAUGCACUCCCGUCGACAAAGUUCAAUAAUCCGUGGAAUGUUUCUGAUUGGUCUGUAUAAUGUUGUAUACACGGUUGAUUAGAACUAUAAAUAAUUGCAAGGGUCCGUGAAGCGCGAAGACUGUAAGGAAGAGUUAAGGAAGACAAAGACGAAGAACAAGAAAAUGAUUCAUUGACAGGGAAAGCCGUGACGCAUGGUCGUAGUUUAUCUCUAGCCCCUUGACGGAUGGAAAUGAAUACACAGUUUGCAUCGUUCCUAAUUAUGGCCAAAGCUGUAGAUAUAUAUACACAAACACAAACACAUAUACGUAGACACGAGAUAAUAAUAGAAUAAUAAAAUUAAUAACGUUCUCCCGUUGAAGGUUAGUACUUCGUAUAUCUCGAGUAAGGUUAUGUCCCAAUAACUCUUGCGGUACACUAGACACUAUGCACGAACUAGAUCGCACUAACAAUAAGUAAAGUACGGUAGAAAUAAACGUUUCAUAACAUAGUUUCGACCCUGAUCUUAGUACGAUAAACCACACGAGAAUCUGCCAGCCGAUAAUUAUGCUCCUAGCAGGGCGGCCACGCGUCGUUAAUAAUACCAACGUAAUCUCGAGCUAGCGCUCCCUUCUCGUUAGAGUUCCUAGUUUUUUAAAAAUCCCGCCAACUCUUAGUAUGAAAUAUGGACUCUAACGAAAAAUGUCAUACGAAUGUAUGCAAUAUAUUAGCUUAUCGAAUUUCAAUUACGAUUAUUAGGAUGAUGCCUAACCCUGACCGCGGUUACGCGAACCUACAGUAUCUAUAGGCGUGAUAACGUGAGUAUCCUAAAACGUCGUAAACCGCAUUUUAGUAUAUUUACAUUAUAGAUGUCUCCUUAUCUCACGAUUCACUACUCGAGUCAGUCAUGGAUACUACGCGAAGAAAGGAAGGCACGCAGAAAUAAAGAAAGAAUAAAUGAGGCGAGUAGAGAACUUUAAAAGCACAUAUUAAUAAACAAAUUAAUAAUCUUCCUA